GCCGGGCGUGAUGGCUCAUGCCUGUAAUCCUAGCACUUUGGGAGGCCGAGGCAGGCAGAUCACCUGAGGUCAGGAGUUCGAGACCAGCCUGGCCAACAUGGUGAGACCCUGUCUCUA
This 117-nucleotide non-coding RNA is filed under the name Chlorocebus sabaeus (green monkey). Lineage: Eukaryota; Metazoa; Chordata; Mammalia; Primates; Cercopithecidae. The record is from Rfam by way of RNAcentral.